GACGAACGCUGGCGGCGUGCUUAACACAUGCAAGUCGAACGGAAAGGCCUCUUUCGGGGGGUACCCGGGGGGCGAACGGGCGCAUAACAGGGGAGUACCUUUCCAUCGACUUUGGGAUAACUUGAGAACCCUGGGGAAAUCACCGGAAAGGCGCUCGUCAUCCUUUGCGGGGGUUGGACGACUUCGGAGGAUGGGGUUGGACUGGCGUCUUAUCGGCUUGUUGGAGCGUGAGUGGCUUACCAAGGCGUUGACGGGUAGCGGGCCUGAGAGGGUGACCGGCCACAUUGGGACUGAGACACAGGCCGGACUCCUACGGGAGGCAGCAGUGGGGAAUAUUGCACUAUGGGUGGACGCCUGAUGCAACGACGCCGUGUGCGUGAGGACGAACUUCGUGUUGUAAACGGCUUUCGCUCAUGACGAAGCUUUGUGUGACGGUAGUGGGUAAAGAAGCACCGGCUAACUACGUG
This 467-nucleotide ribosomal RNA is filed under the name uncultured bacterium. RNAcentral describes it as "partial 16S ribosomal RNA". It matches the Rfam family "Bacterial small subunit ribosomal RNA", at positions 28 to 507 of the family's 1533-position model. The record is from RNAcentral.